Molecule: long non-coding RNA, 1266 nt
Filed under: Sus scrofa (pig)
Lineage: Eukaryota; Metazoa; Chordata; Mammalia; Artiodactyla; Suidae
Description: lncRNA (ENSSSCG00025045224.1)
Source: RNAcentral
AAUUUUCUCUAUUCUUUUCAUCUUCCCAGUUAUCAAUUUUCUGCUGCUUUUGUGCCAGGCUUGGAGCAGGACAUCCUCCUGAAGACUGUGAAUCCUCUCAGAGGGCUCCUCUCAAACCAGAGGACAAAGCAGUCAUCAGACUUGAGCAACAGCCCCCUCUUACCCCCACUUAUAGCACUGCAGGUGCUAAGGGAGAGGACUCCACCUUGAUCUCCUGAUCUCUAGCUCAGCUCUCUUUGCCCUCUUGUGUCCAGUUAGUGUCCUUCACUGAAUAGGGUCCAAGAACUAGAAAAGGCUGUCUUCUGGAGGCUCCUUUCAGCUUUCUUCUCCACCCAGAUGUCUCAGAUAAGAAAUUAUAAAGCCUAACUCAGGCAGAAAAUGAAGGAAGAGGGAAGAAGAAAAAGGAAAGAAGAGAUGUGUACAUUAAACAUAAAGUUUAUUUUUCUUUCUACUUCACACAGUGCUGCAAAGAACAAGAACUGCUGUAUCAAAGGUAACUGCAUUCACAGCUUUGCAAUGGUCACACUGCCAUCCAAGGAGGAACCAUCAAGUGUUCUAUUUAAACUUACACCAGCCAGAAUGGCCAUCAUCAAAAAGUCUUCAAACAAUAAGUGCUGGAGAGGGUGUGGAGAAAAAGGAACCCGAUGACACUGUUGGUGGGAUUGUAAAUUGGCACAACCACUGUGGAAAGCAGUAUGGAGAUUCCUCAGAAAACUAAAAAUAGAACUACCAUUUGAUCCAGCGAUCCCACUCCUGGGCAUCUAUUCAGAGAAAACCAUGACUCGCAAAGACACAUGUACUCCAAUGUUCAUUGCAGCACUAUUUGCAAUAGCCAAGACAUGGAAACAACCUAAAUGUCCAUCGACAGAGGAGUGGGUCAGGAAGAAGUGGUACAUAUACACAGUGGAAUAUUACUCAGCCAUUAAAAGAAAUGAAAUACCAGCAGUUUUAGCAACAUGGAUGGACCUAGAAAUUAUCAUACUAAGUGAAGUCAGCCAUACAGUGAGACACCAACAUCGAAUGCUUUCACUGACAUGUGGAAUCUGAAAAAAGGACAGACUGAACUUCUUUGCAGAACAGAUACUGACUCAUAGACAUUGAAAAACUUAUGGUCUCCGGAGGAGACAGUUUGGGGUGUGGGGGGAUGUGCUUGCGUUAUGGGAUGGAAAUCCUGUGAAACUGGAUUGUUAUGAUCGUUAUACGACUAUAGAUGUGAUAAAUUCUUUUGAGUAAUAAAAUAAAAUAAAAUAAAUAAUGCUUAAAACA